CACAACACCAUUUCAAAUUAUAACCGUUGAAAGUUGAAACUACAGUCGCGGUCGAACCUGCUGGGCAAGUAAGCUCCGAUUGAGAGUGUGAGUAUUAGCGGCGCCGGAGGGGAGAAUAAAGUGGUGGCGGAUUCGUUGGUUUGGAGAUGAAUUCGUCGCUUGAGAACUGUUCGUUGUUUUCCAUAUCGACUUCUCCGCCGAUUGCAAUCGCUAAUUGCGACGAAAAGGGUUUUAAUAUUAUUGACCGGAAUCAUAGGUUUCGUCAAGUUGUAGGAGAACUUAUCGUGCACUCUUUGAAGUUGCGAAGGCCACUAAACUUUUUGUCUGUAAUUGAAUUUAUAUUUUCACUAGGAACUAAAUACAUGGCUUAUGAGUUAUUUAGUUUCUAGCAUAAGAGAUUCAAUGUAAAUUUUGUUGAACAAUUGAGUUCAUUUGUUGGCAUUUUGUUUUAAAAUUGUAUCUCCUCUGUUUUUUUUUAUAUUUUUGAUUAUGAUGUGCCAACCACAGAGAAAACAUUUCAUCCUGUAAGAGAUUAUUUGUACACUUUGUUAAAUUACUUGCUAAAAGUUUUCAUGA
This is a long non-coding RNA of Salvia splendens (bonfire salvia), 576 nucleotides long. RefSeq lists it as uncharacterized. NCBI's taxonomy places the organism in Eukaryota, Viridiplantae, Streptophyta, Magnoliopsida, Lamiales, Lamiaceae. The record is from RefSeq and is a predicted model, not a curated record. The transcript is spliced from 2 exons.